AUCACUCUGCUUAAGAAGAACCAGCUAUCACUCUGCUUAAGAAGAACCAGCUAUCACUCUGCUUAAGAAGAACCAGCUAUCACUCUGCUUAAGAAGAACCAGCUAUCACUCUGCUUAAGAAGAACCAGCUAUCACUCUGCUUAAGAAGAACCAGCUAUCACUCUGCUUAAGAAGAACCAGCUAUCACUCUGCUUAAGAAGAACCAGCUAUCACUCUGCUUAAGAAGAACCAGCUAUCACUCUGCUUAAGAAACAGGUCCCAACAGUAGUGAAGGCUCUCCACAAGCAGCUGAAAGAGAAGAGCAUGGAGUCUAGACAGGGCUGGCCAACAUACUGCAUACAACAUACCAGUCUCACAUCAGAGAAGUCUACCUCGUCCAACAUGAAGAUCAAUGCCCUCUAUGUCCUAAUGUGCAUCCACCCUCCUUACGUCUUCCAGCCUCACAUGAAGGUAAUUCUGCCCACGGCGGUGCAGGACCCCUUCUAUAAGAUCACCUCCGAGACCCUACUGGUCACUCAGCAGAUGGUUAAGAUCAGACACCCAUUAGGUGGUAAGAAGCCCAGAGGUUAGCGAGGUGGACCAGGAAAAGAUCACCUCUCAGGUGAUGAGAAAGUGGAGACUGAAUUGGCAACUGGAUAGCUGCUGGUGUCAGAUCAUUACUGACCCUACCAUGGUGCCCUUGAGCAAGGCACUUAACCCCCCAAUUGGCUCUCCAUCCAUGGAUGCUGUGCCGUGUCCGACCCUUUACUUCUCAAAGUGUUUGUCCCGAUUUCUGUUAUAGCCAAAUGGACAAUAAAGUAUCAAUUACCUUCUAUUCUAGACAAACUACCUGCUUCUUCAUUUGACCUCAAGCCCUACGUGAAGGACUUGUUCGCUGGCACCCUGAAGAGGCUGCAGUCGAAGACCAUGAAGUGAAGGAGAGGGCCAUUUCUUGUAUGGGUCACGUGUCACCUAGGAUACCUAGAUUUUCCUGGAGGCUGAAGAACAAGAUCACCAGGUAGGCAGGGUAGAGGCGGACCCUCAGUAUCCAAGGUAACAUCUUCUGCUGAUGUACCUUGACCCCUGAACUGCUCCAUCCCUUCAACACUGUGCCGCUUCCCUGGAUGGAGAGCUAAUUUGGGGGGUUAAGUGCCUUGCUCAAGGGCACCAUAGUAGUAUCUUCUCUACUCUUCCCAGGUUGACAGCGGUGAAGACCACGACUCUCAUCGCUGCAUUGCCCCUUAGGAUUGACUUCCGACCUUUAAUCACGAGGGCAUCCCCAUCCUGGGCUCCUUCCUCGCGAAGAACCAACGAGCCUUCAAGCUAACCGGUCUCAACAUGACCAUGACGAGCAACAGCCUGAAGCCACCCAUGAUCGAGGCCGUGCUCAACGAGCUACCUUGCUUUGAUCGAGGAGAGCAAUAAGCACAUAUCCCAGGUGGCAGUGAUACUCCUCACCUAAGGUGUGUCCCUCCUCCCUGUCCCAAGAUCAGGAACACUGUCCUACCUGGUGUUUCAUCUGGUUCAUUCCCCAGUUGCUCCAAUGAGGGUCUCGCUCUGUCAUCCUAGAGUUCUUCCAAGCACCGGUGGUCACCAAGGCUGGGAACAACAACCUCCUGAAAGCUCUUACAGGCCCCUUUCAGAUUGGGGAAGGCUACAGACCCUUACACCCAUGGACUUUUCCUGGUUAAAUAAAACAGACAGUCCUACUACUCUGUGACCAGGUAGUUGUAGUUUUGGUUAGAUGCCUUUGCAUGGCUGUUAUAGGCCAUACUCACUGCCUCAGAAAUUAUUCCUAUUCUGCCUUGAAAGUUGAUAGUUGGAAACAUGCCUUUGACACAUAUAUGAUAUUAAAAGGACUUUGAAAAAUAUAUUUAGUGCCACUUGUUACCUUGAAAUCACCGUUGAGUUGAAAACGUGCCUUCUUGACAUUCAGGUAAUACUUUGUUAAAAAUGACUUUUCAAAGCCGGUGGUAAUUCACCGCCAUUUUGUAGAGCUGUGAUGUCGAUACAGUAUUCCCAACAAAUAC
Oncorhynchus tshawytscha (Chinook salmon) is the source of this 2009-nucleotide long non-coding RNA. RefSeq lists it as uncharacterized. The record is from RefSeq and is a predicted model, not a curated record. The transcript is spliced from 3 exons. NCBI's taxonomy places the organism in Eukaryota, Metazoa, Chordata, Actinopteri, Salmoniformes, Salmonidae.